AAAUGCGAUAAGUAAUGUGAAUUGCAGAAUUCAGUGAAUCAUCGAAUCUUUGAACGCACCUUGCGCUCCUUGGUAUUCCUUGGAGCAUGCCUGUUUGAGUAUCAUGAAAUCUUCACAGUAAAUCUUUUGUUAACUCAAUUGGUUUCUACUUUGGUAUUGGAGGUCUUUGCAGCUUCACACCUGCUCCUCUUUGUUCAUUAGCUGGAUCUCAGUGUUAUGCUUGGUUCCACUCGGCGUGAUAAGUUAUCUAUCGCUGAGGACACUGUAAAAGGUGGCCAAGGUAAAUGCAGAUGAACCGCUUCUAAUAGUCCAUUGACUUGGACAAUACUUUUAUGAUCUGAUCUCAAAUCAGGUAGGACUACCCGCUGAACUUAAGC
RNAcentral lists this unclassified non-coding RNA (377 nucleotides) under plant metagenome. RNAcentral's name for it is "partial contains 5.8S ribosomal RNA, internal transcribed spacer 2, and large subunit ribosomal RNA". The stretch from base 1 to 104 matches the Rfam family "5.8S ribosomal RNA", at positions 51 to 154 of the family's 154-position model. The record is from RNAcentral.